Molecule: long non-coding RNA, 4702 nt
Filed under: Homo sapiens (human)
Lineage: Eukaryota; Metazoa; Chordata; Mammalia; Primates; Hominidae
Description: non-protein coding lnc-FBXL7-10:3
Source: RNAcentral
AAGCCGAGGGAACGCUGUGGCUGAAAGGGACCUGGGUCCGCUCAGUCAGCCCGAGGUGGCUGUUGAUUGAGGGAGGUCGCGCCCUCCCAGUUACCUUCCCUGGUGGUUGUGCCGCUCGGUGUGACGCGGUCAAGGGGACGGCUACGCGAGAAUGGGGGAGUGGGGCGCCCGAGGCUGCUCCUGGGCCCUGGGAAGCCCCCGAUUAAUGAAUGGUCGGGUCAGCGACGCGAGGGUCGGGGUUUCUCUGAGGACCGCGCGCUGCACCUGCGGAGCCGGGUGAAUGGAUGUCGCGAAGGCAAGGGCUGCCCUUACCCCUCGGGGCCGACCUCGGAGCCCUCGCCCGUGGUUGCAACGCUUUCCCGGGAAACCGGAGAAGCCAGGCCGGGGGCUCGGCCUUUCUGAGGCGGCCCUUCCGGCGGAGGACACCGGCGGAAUUUGAGUGCACAGAGUGCGCGAGAGGAGCUCCCUGUAGACACACAGUCCAAGCCACGUAGGGAUGAUAAAAAAAUAUUUACAGUUAAAUAGCUGGAUCUAGUACAAUGAAAUAUAAAGAAAGGGCUAAUGAGUAUUUAGGAUAGAGAAAUCUCAUGCCAUUAGAGAGAUCAGAAAAGUUUUCAUUAAGGAGUAGACAUUUCAGAUGGGUCCUAAAGGAGAAGAUUGAGGACUCUGCAAGUGGAAAGGGAGGUGGAACAGGUAGAAGAAAUACUGUGGAGGGAGGAAAAUCAAGGACAUAUUUAAGAAGAAUGUGUCUACGUUGGAUGAAGCUUAGGAUACAAACAAGGGAAAAUGAGACUAGAGAGAGCCACGAUAUCAUUGGCAAAAGACUUGGAUUGUUGUGUUUACUGCUCAUGCUUCAUUUGAUGGAGAGUCACAGAAUGUUUCAGCUUGUAUGGCACCAGGAAUAGAAGUGGGCCUUGAGUAAAUCCAGCAGCAGUAUCUGGAACUAAUUGGAGAAAAAAAAAAAGAGUAGGUCUACAGCCAAUACCUCCUUGGUAAAUGCAAGGGACUGUUGAGUAAAAUCUCUGCGGCACAUCCUCAGCACUCUUAAUGUGUCUAACCUCUGCUGACAGUACUGCUAUCAAAAAAAAUUACCAAAUUGAUCACUCUGAAGAAUUUAAACUAAGAUCACUGAUAUAGUUUGGAUGUUGUCCCCACUUAUAUCUCAUGUCAAAAUGUAAUCCCAGUGUUGGAAGCAGGGCCUGGUGGGAGUGAUUGGAUCAUGGGUGUGAAUUUCUCAGCACCAUCCCCUUGGUGCUGUUCCAGCGACAGUGAGUUCUCUCAAGGUGUGGUUGUUUAAAAGUGUGUAUCACCUCCUGCCUUGCUCUCUCUUGCCUCUGAUUUUGGCAUGUGAACUGCCUGCGCCCACUUUGCCUUCUGCCUUGAGUAAAAGCUCCCUGAGGUCUCUCCAGAAGCAGAGGCCACCAUGCUUCUGUACAGCCUGCAGAACCCUGAACCAAUUAAAUCUCAUAUAAAUUACCCAGUCUCAGGUAUUUCUUUAUAGCAAUGUGAGGAUGGACUAAUACAACCAUCUAUGACAAAGAAAAUUAAUUUGAAAGUAUUGAAAAUUAUAAUUCCUUCUGUAUGUCAUGACAUAGCCCUUAAAAUAGUUCACGUAAUUCUUAAACUACUAGAGUUAUGGUGCACACUGUAACAGUGACAGUACACACAGUAACAUGGUUCUUGUUUCAGUCUUGGAAGACUUUGGGAUAUUCAUCCUUGAUAAUUACAUAAUUUAAAAUAAAAGCUAAUAAAGUUGCCUUCAAGUCAUUUUGUAUGCUGAUCACAAUAUUCUCUGUGACAAGUUUACUGCUGUUCACAUUCCUAUAUCGCAGUGGCACCUUGGUUUUUAAAAGGAAGGCUAUGAAGGGGAUUGGGUUGGUUGAGGGUAACCUUUGGUGGGGGUAACAAAUACUGAAAUAUAAAAACUAAUGUACACUUAUCACAUGGUUUACAGUUUCUGUGAAUUCUGUGUUUAUGAAAACGUUAAGUCCUGUGAGAGAUUUUCAAUCCCCAAUUGUUUUGGCUGUCUACAUAUGCAAAGUCUUGUCUUAAUUUAAUAAGGAAUUGAAAUUUACAGCAAAGCCUGUUUACACAGCAUUUAAAACAGUAUAGAUCAACUGGUUUCUGCAGUCUUUGAAAAAAGAAAAAAACUAAAAUAAAAUCAGUAUUUAAUACUUAGUGAAAUUCUGUUAAACUAUUUAAAAUUAUGAUCGCUGUUAAUGUAUCAAAAAGCAAAACCAAUAUACUAGUAUGAUACAUUAGAAAGAGAAUAGGCUUUGGGGUCAGGCUGGCUUUUUCCCUGACUAGCUAUGUAACCUUGGACAAUUUAUCUACCCUGUUCUUUGGCAAAAUGUUCCUAAUACCACUUAACUGUAGAGUCAGGAGGGUUAAACAGGAUCCUGUUUUCUAUGUCUUAGACCAAGAGUUUGCACACUUUUCCUGUAAAGGGCCAGAAAGUAAAUAUGCUUUGUAGGCCUGGGUUCUCUGUCACAGCUAAUCAGCUUCAUUGUUAUAGCAUAAAAGCAGCCAUAGACAAUACAUAAACAAAUGAGCCUAGCUGUGUUCUAAUUAAACAUUAUUCACAGAUGCUGAAAAUUGAUUUUCAUUUAUUCUCAUGUCACAAAAUAGUCUUCUGAUUUUUUUCAACUACUUCAAGAUGUAAAAAAUCGUUCUUAGCUUGCAGCCCCUACAAAAACAGGUAGCAGGCCAGAUUUGGCCCAUGGGCCAUAGUCUGCCAACCCUAGCCUUAAGACACUUAAUCCUUGUAACACUCUGUGAAGUAAAUGGUACUACAUUUUUAUUUUGUAGAUGAGGUAAAUAGGUAUGGAGUUAUUAGGUGAUUUUCUCAGAGUCCCAUAGCUAGUAGGUGUUAUAACCAUAAAAAUUACUAUUAUAGAACCUUACGCUUGGUCCACAAAAUCAACUGAAAUAGUAGACAUUUUUGCAACACUUCCAUCCAUUAAUUCCACAAGGAUUUCUUGCACUGUGAGGCUGAUACAGUGCUAGACCCAUUAAAAGAACCUUAUGGUUCUUGUAAGCUGUUCCUUGUUGAUAGCCUUUGUUUUAAUGUUUAAAAGAAUGGCUCAGUUGAAACACAGGCAGGAAAAAAUCAGUAUCUUGGUUUUAUGCAGCCUUUCCACACACACACCUGCCCCCAACGUGCUUCAGAUACUUUUUUUCAUUCAUUCUCUAAACAUCCGUGUGUGAUAAGGUAAGAAUUAACUUCCCUAUUUAAUGUUUGGGGAAACAGGAUGGAGCUUGGGGACGUUGUAUGACUUUGACACUGUGUCUCAGGGCCAUAAUAUUAACAUGAGAACCAGAACUCUUAUUUUCAACAUCUUUCUUAGUACAAAUGCUACAGUGGAAAUGGAGGAAUAAUACACAAAAAUAUAGCUCUGAGGCUAAUUUCAUCAUGACACAAAUGAUCUAAGACAACAGUAGUUCAGUAAAGGUUUUCAGAAGAAUUUCCUAUCUUGCAAUGAACACAGCUAGAGCAGUGUAAAGAAGUAUACCCAUCUAGAUUAUAAACAUAAUAUAAAUGUUAAAAUCACGUUUUUCUUAAAUGUGGAUUUGCUUCUUGACUAAAAUUAGUGGCAUGCUGGCAUUUGCCACUUUUUUAAAUGGAAGAAAGUUGCAUUUAUUUCAUAUAUAAGAGUGAGAUGCCUAAAUAUGUUGACUAUAUUUGCCAAUUACAAAACCUUAUAAAAGUUUUCCUAAUAUUUUAUUAAACCGGGAAGCAGGCAGUUUAAAAAAAAAAAUCCCUUUUGAAGCUAUGUAGGGUAAGAAAAAAACAAAGGUAUUUCAGAAUGAGAAUAUUCAAGCCUGGAUUGAUCUUCCAAAGCGAGCUUCAGCUUCUUGAGCACUGCUUUAUUGCUUCAGAUUAAAAUACAUGCUCAAUGUAUGCUAUUGCCAUUGUGUGAUUUUGCUCAGUACUUUCUAAAGGAAGUAAGCAGAACUUCUCUACAGCUUUCAGUUUUAAAAAUAUAUAUCCAUGGUUCACAUUUUAAGUACUUCAGUCCACUUAGAUUUUACAAACCACUCAUUAUCAGUUCUUUCAGAUGUUGGGGAAAUAUUGCUAUUUAUAUUCUCAUAGUAAAGGACAUGUAGUCCUCUACUACACUGGAUCAAUCAUAUGAAAUGUAUCUGCUCCUUCAUCUUUUAAAACCAGAAACAGUGACCCCCCACCACCAAAACACACAUAUACACAAACAAGAACUUUCAACAUCCUUGUGUUUGUUUGAAUUAAUAGUUGUGAGAAAGUCCCAUUAUUGUAUUGUGUAAAUUUGUAGUCAUACAGUCAUAUACAAAUAAUAUUAAAAUUCAUACAUAGUUAUAAUGCUGCUGUCCCUAGAGAGCUGGCAUGUCUCCUCAAUAGUGGUAAUAGCACAUUUUUCUACCCUACCAACUUCCUCCCAUCCUCACACCCCUUUUAAUUUGUAGUUAUUAACAUUUUAUUCUAGAUUUAUUGUUCAUACCACCACAGAUUAUCAGCCCUUGAGUUCGUCUUCCUGUAAGGUCAUCUAGUGACUUAUAUUCUUUAAUUACUUGGAUUAUUUAACUUUUUUUCUCCUUAGUGAAGAAAUGGAAAUGACCUUUAAACUUUUCUACUUUAUAUCCAAGAAUAUUGUUUUAAAGAAAGAAACAUACACAUAAAAAAAUACUGAUAACGACUAUUUUAUAAAUAUGUAACUGUAUUUUUCUU